Molecule: ribosomal RNA, 459 nt
Filed under: uncultured bacterium
Lineage: Bacteria
Description: partial 16S ribosomal RNA
Rfam family: Bacterial small subunit ribosomal RNA
Source: RNAcentral
CCUACGGGAGGCAGCAGUGAGGAAUAUUGGUCAAUGGGCGCGAGCCUGAACCAGCCAAGUCGCGUGAGGGAAGACGGUCCUAUGGAUUUUAAACCUCUUUUGUCGGGGAGCAAAAGACGCCACGCGUCGCGUUCCGAGAGUACCCGAAGAAAAAGCAUCGGCUAACUCCGUGCCAGCAGCCGCGCUAAUACGGAGGAUGCGAGCGUUAUCCGGAUUUAUUGGGUUUAAAGGGUGCGCAGGCGGAAGAUCAAGUCAGCGGUAAAAUUGAGAGGCUCAACCUCUUCGAGCCGUUGAAACUGGUGUGCUUGAGUGAGUGAGAAGGAUGCGGAAUGCGUGGUGUAGCGGUGAAAUGCAUAGAUAUCACGCAGAACUCCGAUUGCGAAGGCAGCAUACCGGCGCUCAACUGACGCGCAUGCACGAAAGUGUGGGUAUCGAACAGGAUUAGAUACCCGGGUAGUC